This 325-nucleotide ribosomal RNA is filed under the name uncultured eukaryote. RNAcentral describes it as "partial 18S ribosomal RNA". It matches the Rfam family "Eukaryotic small subunit ribosomal RNA", at positions 1470 to 1796 of the family's 1831-position model. The record is from RNAcentral.
CCCUUAGAUGUCCUGGGCCGCACGCGCGCUACACUGAUGCAUUCAACGAGUUUUACCUUGGCCGAGAGGCCUGGGCAAUCUUUUGAACGUGCAUCGUGAUAGGGAUAGAUUAUUGCAAUUUUUAAUCUUGAACGAGGAAUUCCUAGUAAACGCAGAUCAUCAAUCUGCAUUGAUUACGUCCCUGCCCUUUGUACACACCGCCCGUCGCACCUACCGAUUGAAUGGUCCGGUGAAGCCUCGGGAUUGUGAUGAGUUCCCUUUAUUGGGAGUUUGUUGCGAGAACUUGUCUAAACCUUAUCAUUUAGAGGAAGGUGAAGUCGUANCA